RNAcentral lists this microRNA precursor (145 nucleotides) under Gossypium hirsutum (cotton). RNAcentral describes it as "MIR7502 microRNA precursor family". It matches the Rfam family "MIR7502 microRNA precursor family". The record is from Rfam by way of RNAcentral. Lineage: Eukaryota; Viridiplantae; Streptophyta; Magnoliopsida; Malvales; Malvaceae.
UAUUAAAAAUUUAAUCCAUUUGUCUUGUUAAAAAUUGACGUAGAUGAUGAAAUAAUUAGACAAUAAUAUGUGGCAUAUCAUAUGUACCUCAUGCUAACAUAUAAAGAUUAUUUUUUAAUCGUAAAAAUAGAUACAAAUUUUAAUA